CGUAGGGUGCAAGCGUUAAUCGGAAUUACUGGGCGUAAAGCGUACGCAGGCGGCUUUGCAAGACAGGUGUGAAAUCCCCGGGCCUAACCUGGGAACUGCAUUUGUGACUGCAUGGCUAGAGUUUGUCAGAGGGGGUGGAAUUCCACGUGUAGCAGUGAAAUGCGUAGAUAUGUGGAGGAACACCGAUGGCGAAGGCAGCCCCCUGGGAUGUGACUGACGCUCAUGUACGAAAGCGUGGGAGCAAACAGGAUU
This 252-nucleotide ribosomal RNA is filed under the name uncultured bacterium. Its description in RNAcentral is "partial 16S ribosomal RNA". It matches the Rfam family "Bacterial small subunit ribosomal RNA", at positions 526 to 779 of the family's 1533-position model. The record is from RNAcentral.